CUUGAGUACUUGUUUCUUGGAAACAAUAGUCUAUCUGGAACCAUUCCGAACCAAAAAAGUGACUCUCUUCAAACUAUAGAUUUGUCUUACAAUCACCUUACGGGAAUUUUUCCUUCAUGGGUAAACCCAAAUAUGCAAUUGAACUUAAUAGCCAACGACUUCGUGUUUGACAACUCAAACAUAAGUGUGAUGCCAGGAUUGAACUGUCUACAGAGAAAUUUUCCUUGCAAUAGGAAUGCUCCACGUUAUGCAAAUUUUUCAAUCAAAUGUGGUGGCCCAGAGAUGCGUUCUGGUGGCAUAUUGUAUGAGGCUGAAAAUUCAUCCAUGGGCCCAGCAUCAUUCCAAGUAAUCACAAGUCAAAAAUGGGCAGUCAGCAUUGUGGGUUUGUUUGCUGAUAGACAGGAUCCAUCAUACAUUGAAGAUACCUUGUCACAAGUGGCCAGCACCAACACUCCAGAACUUUAUCUGACUUCAAGGGUAUCCCCUAGUUCAAUUAGAUACUAUGGCCUAGGUCUUGAAAACGGACUU
This 528-nucleotide unclassified non-coding RNA is filed under the name Hevea brasiliensis (rubber tree). Lineage: Eukaryota; Viridiplantae; Streptophyta; Magnoliopsida; Malpighiales; Euphorbiaceae. The record is from RNAcentral.